UACGGAGGGGGUUAGCGUAGUUCGGAAUUACUGGGCGUAAAGCGUACGUAGGCGGCUAUGUAAGUCAGUUGUGAAAGCCCAAGGCUCAACCUUGGAACUGCAAUUGAAACUGCAUUGCUAGAAUUUGGUGGGGGAUAGUGGAAUUCCUAGUGUAGGGGUGAAAUCCGUAGAUAUUAGGAGGAACAUCAGUGGCGAAGGCGACUAUCUAUACCAAUAUUGACGCUAAGGUACGAAAGCGUGGGGAGCAAACAGG
RNAcentral lists this ribosomal RNA (253 nucleotides) under uncultured bacterium. RNAcentral's name for it is "partial 16S ribosomal RNA". It matches the Rfam family "Bacterial small subunit ribosomal RNA", at positions 524 to 776 of the family's 1533-position model. The record is from RNAcentral.